RNAcentral lists this ribosomal RNA (253 nucleotides) under uncultured bacterium. RNAcentral describes it as "partial 16S ribosomal RNA". It matches the Rfam family "Bacterial small subunit ribosomal RNA", at positions 524 to 776 of the family's 1533-position model. The record is from RNAcentral.
UACGUAGGGUGCAAGCGUUGUCCGGAAUUAUUGGGCGUAAAGAGCUUGUAGGCGGUUUGUCGCGUCUGCUGUGAAAUUUCGGGGCUCAACCCCGAACUUGCAGUGGGUACGGGCAGACUAGAGUGCGGUAGGGGAGACUGGAAUUCCUGGUGUAGCGGUGAAAUGCGCAGAUAUCAGGAGGAACACCGGUGGCGAAGGCGGGUCUCUGGGCCGUAACUGACGCUGAGGAGCGAAAGCGUGGGGAGCGAACGGG